Molecule: transfer RNA, 70 nt
Filed under: Meridiastra mortenseni
Lineage: Eukaryota; Metazoa; Echinodermata; Asteroidea; Valvatida; Asterinidae
Description: tRNA-Ala
Rfam family: tRNA
About the family: Transfer RNA (tRNA) molecules are approximately 80 nucleotides in length.
Source: RNAcentral
GAAUUUAGUUUAAGAGAAAAAACACUUGAUUUGCAAUCAAUAACUCUAAGUUUAAAUCUUAGAAUUCACA